This 253-nucleotide ribosomal RNA is filed under the name uncultured bacterium. RNAcentral's name for it is "partial 16S ribosomal RNA". It matches the Rfam family "Archaeal small subunit ribosomal RNA", at positions 474 to 727 of the family's 1478-position model. The record is from RNAcentral.
UACCAGCACCCCGAGUGGUUGGGACGAUUAUUGGGCCUAAAGCAUCCGUAGCCGGUCCUACAAGUCUUCCGUUAAAUCCACCUGCUUAACAGAUGGGCUGCGGAAGAUACUAUAGGGCUAGGAGGCGGGAGAGGCAAGCGGUACUCAGUGGGUAGGGGUAAAAUCCUCUGAUCCAUUGAAGACCACCAGUGGCGAAGGCGGCGUGCCAGAACGCGCUCGACGGUGAGGGAUGAAAGCUGGGGGAGCAAACCAG